AACACAUGGCAAGUCGAGCGGUAGCACAGAGAGCUUGCUCUCGGGUGACGAGCGGCGGACGGGUGAGUAAUGUCUGGGAAACUGCCUGAUGGAGGGGGAUAACUACUGGAAACGGUAGCUAAUACCGCAUAACGUCGCAAGACCAAAGUGGGGGACCUUCGGGCCUCAUGCCAUCAGAUGUGCCCAGAUGGGAUUAGCUAGUAGGUGGGGUAACGGCUCACCUAGGCGACGAUCCCUAGCUGGUCUGAGAGGAUGACCAGCCACACUGGAACUGAGACACGGUCCAGACUCCUACGGGAGGCAGCAGUGGGGAAUAUUGCACAAUGGGCGCAAGCCUGAUGCAGCCAUGCCGCGUGUGUGAAGAAGGCCUUCGGGUUGUAAAGCACUUUCAGCGGGGAGGAAGGCGAUAAGGUUAAUAACCUUGUCGAUUGACGUUACCCGCAGAAGAAGCACCGGCUAACUCCGUGCCAGCAGCCGCGGUAAUACGGAGGGUGCAAGCGUUAAUCGGAAUUACUGGGCGUAAAGCGCACGCAGGCGGUCUGUCAAGUCGGAUGUGAAAUCCCCGGGCUCAACCUGGGAACUGCAUUCGAAACUGGCAGGCUAGAGUCUUGUAGAGGGGGGUAGAAUUCCAGGUGUAGCGGUGAAAUGCGUAGAGAUCUGGAGGAAUACCGGUGGCGAAGGCGGCCCCCUGGACAAAGACUGACGCUCAGGUGCGAAAGCGUGGGGAGCAAACAGGAUUAGAUACCCUGGUAGUCCACGCCGUAAACGAUGUCGAUUUGGAGGUUGUGCCCUUGAGGCGUGGCUUCCGGAGCUAACGCGUUAAAUCGACCGCCUGGGGAGUACGGCCGCAAGGUUAAAACUCAAAUGAAUUGACGGGGGCCCGCACAAGCGGUGGAGCAUGUGGUUUAAUUCGAUGCAACGCGAAGAACCUUACCUGGUCUUGACAUCCACAGAACUUAGCAGAGAUGCUUUGGUGCCUUCGGGAACUGUGAGACAGGUGCUGCAUGGCUGUCGUCAGCUCGUGUUGUGAAAUGUUGGGUUAAGUCCCGCAACGAGCGCAACCCUUAUCCUUUGUUGCCAGCGGUUCGGCCGGGAACUCAAAGGAGACUGCCAGUGAUAAACUGGAGGAAGGUGGGGAUGACGUCAAGUCAUCAUGGCCCUUACGACCAGGGCUACACACGUGCUACAAUGGCAUAUACAAAGAGAAGCGACCUCGCGAGAGCAAGCGGACCUCAUAAAGUAUGUCGUAGUCCGGAUUGGAGUCUGCAACUCGACUCCAUGAAGUCGGAAUCGCUAGUAAUCGUAGAUCAGAAUGCUACGGUGAAUACGUUCCCGGGCCUUGUACACACCGCCCGUCACACCAUGGGAGUGGGUUGCAAAAGAAGUAGGUAGCUUAACCUUCGGGAGGGCGCUACCACUUUGAUCAGUGGA
Molecule: ribosomal RNA, 1431 nt
Filed under: Klebsiella pneumoniae
Lineage: Bacteria; Pseudomonadati; Pseudomonadota; Gammaproteobacteria; Enterobacterales; Enterobacteriaceae
Description: bacterial SSU rRNA
Rfam family: Bacterial small subunit ribosomal RNA
Source: RNAcentral